Molecule: long non-coding RNA, 424 nt
Organism: Actinia tenebrosa (Australian red waratah sea anemone)
Lineage: Eukaryota; Metazoa; Cnidaria; Anthozoa; Actiniaria; Actiniidae
Source: RefSeq, a predicted model, not a curated record
UCACUAAUAGGAUCUAGACUCCUGAACGAGAGUGGGUAUAUCUUAAUUUAUUCAGUCUUGGCAAUUGUUUCAUAAAGUUUUGAAAUCACAGGAUAUUAAGAUCAAGGAAGUCUAAUGUGAAAAUGAUUAAUGAUUAUGAGAUGAAUACUUGCAUAUCAGUUUGUGYGAGUGGAAAAAUUGGUUUGGAUGAUUGCAUCAACAUUUUGAAAGUGAACACUGUACUACAAUGGCUUCCCAGUAUUUUUAUGGAAUAACUGGUUGGAAACCAGUUUGGUAAGAAGAAGUGCUCAUAAUGAAGAUUGAAGAAUGAGAAGAGGAUGUUCAACCUCUUUACAAAGCAUAAAGAAGCAGAUCAGCAAAAUUAAAACUUCUUAGACCUUGCCAAUCUCUUUAAAUUUCCAAUUCUCCUCAAUGCAAGGAAGAG